CUUGUCUCUGAUACCACUUUAAUCUGUCACGCCCCGGGGUCCCCUUUUAGUUUGAAACACAGCGAAAAAGCGUUUAAAUUUUUUUUUGAAAACCUGACCCCAGAGUAUGCCAGAUCCGCCACAAAUACAGGAAAUCCACUUUUCACACGGACAGAGUCUCCCCUGUAUUUGCACGGCGUCGCACAAGUACAAAAUACAAACCGUAUACAACCACAACUAAAUGAAUAUACAGAUAGCUAUACAUUCAUACAUUCACCAUUCACACCGUAGUUUUACAUUCGAUGUUUAAACAAAAGUCCACGAAAAACCUUUUGAAAACUGUUCCAUACGCGAAAACUUUUACCUUUUAUAAAAGCUACCACGAGGGGUAGAAAACCUUUUAUUUUACCAAAUCCAGAAAUCCUUUUAUUACAUUCAUGAAAGUCCACAUAUUCCAAUGUAAUAAAAAUACUGAACCAUAUAAACUGACUAAGCUAUAACAACAGAAUAGUAGGGAUAAAACUAAACCGAU
This 511-nucleotide long non-coding RNA is filed under the name Ananas comosus (pineapple). Its description in RNAcentral is "long non-coding RNA (ACOM_LNC040550)". Lineage: Eukaryota; Viridiplantae; Streptophyta; Magnoliopsida; Poales; Bromeliaceae. The record is from RNAcentral.